CGCCCUCCCAGUCCCUCAUUUGAUGGAGCUCCUGUUUCUCACACAGAGGACAAUGAGUGACAGCCUUCCCUGCUGCAGGGAGCAAUGACAACUCGCAGCCCCGGGCCAGAGUCCACUGGUUGCCACCAUCUGCCUUUGGGAGGGAUUUUCCAUCGUGGGCCCAGCGUUGCAAGAGGAUCCAGGAACUGUUUGUCACUGGGAGGCGUUGAUGCUGGCAACGAUGCAGAGCUUGCCAGGUCCGGGAUGGUGUCUUACUCACUUCCAUCCCUGGAAAUGUCCCCGGUGCCAGCACGGGGCCGGAGCAUGGAGGGAGCCUAGUCAACGAUGCCUGUAAAUGUAUUGAUGUCAGAAGGCUGGUGAAGACGCACGGAAGGACAGCUCCGGGUUUUGCAUAAGGCACCUCAAAUGUGCAAAAAUAAAUGGGGGAGCCAGUGAAGCUGAACGCUGAGC
This 450-nucleotide long non-coding RNA is filed under the name Sus scrofa (pig). RNAcentral's name for it is "lncRNA (ENSSSCG00035072924.1)". The record is from RNAcentral. Lineage: Eukaryota; Metazoa; Chordata; Mammalia; Artiodactyla; Suidae.